GGACAGUGAGCUGCCAUUCUCUUCUCCAGGUGAAAUUAUCUCCCUUAAGAUGGAAAUUAAUGAACUUCUGUCUGGAGGUAAGAUCCAAAAAUAGCUAAUGUUCUCUCUAAUAUUCUUGCACGGGGAAAUCUGGAACCAUUGGUUCCUCUUCUGUGCAUGAAAGUUUAUACGAAACCUUCUGCAUCAGAAAGUUCUUCACAUGAAGUAGUUGGAGAAUGAUCUUUAGGCAUUCUUA
This 235-nucleotide long non-coding RNA is filed under the name Solanum tuberosum (potato). RNAcentral describes it as "long non-coding RNA (STUB_LNC008404)". The record is from RNAcentral. Lineage: Eukaryota; Viridiplantae; Streptophyta; Magnoliopsida; Solanales; Solanaceae.